CGGUGUCGUAUGAGUUUCGCAAGUACCAUGAGAUAUGCAAGUACGCAUGCGCGAAAAUGUUAUUUUCGUUUUCACACUUCCGGUAUGAGAUUUGCAAGUCGUUUGCUACGGUGUAUGUUGCCGGCAAAUUGGGUUAAACAUGGAGAAAGGUUGGGAAAUAAAAGAGGAAUCUAGAAACAGGACGAAAAUAUUACAACAGCAGAAGUGGAUAGUUAUGUUGAAUAAAGAGAAGAGAAAAGGGUUAUGACAAACAAGAAAGUUGGUGCCAAUGUAAAAAAAGCCCAGGCCAGACAAAAAAAAAAGACUACAAAAGAAGAAACACCAAGCAACGGUAUACAGAAAUUUCAGUUGGUGACAAAGUGUUAGUUCACAAUACCAGGAAGGCCAUCACGAAAAGAAAGGGCAACUUGGAACCAAAUUAUACCGGCCCGUACAUAGUGACUAAGUUUGAGGGAAAGCUGGCUAAUUUAAAGACCGUCUCAGGUGAUGAACUUAAAAAAAAAAUACAACGUUGAUCAACUAAAGGUUUUAAUCAGUCCAGAGACAGACGACCAGGAUUUCACAACAUCAACAUCAACCGGACAAGAGCCUCAGCCGACAUCUGGGUACAAGAGCAGUACACCAUACAUCAACCCAAAGGACCUGAAAACUAAAAGCUAUCUUCAACAGAUAAAAGCUGAUGGGUCUCUAAAACAGCUGAUUGAGAUUGUCGCAAAAAUGGACCUGUCAAAACCAACAAGCCUGUCAAAUUUAAGUAGGAUGCUGAAAGAAUGCCCAAUACAAAGUUUUGUGUC
Ruditapes philippinarum (Manila clam) is the source of this 794-nucleotide long non-coding RNA. RefSeq lists it as uncharacterized. Lineage: Eukaryota; Metazoa; Mollusca; Bivalvia; Venerida; Veneridae. The transcript is spliced from 3 exons. The record is from RefSeq and is a predicted model, not a curated record.